GGGAACGUACCCGUCGGUUCGGAAUAACUCAGGGAAACUUGAGCUAAUACCGGAUACGCCCUUUUGGGGAAAGGUUUACUGCCGAAGGAUCGGCCCGCGUCUGAUUAGCUUGUUGGUGGGGUAACGGCCUACCAAGGCGACGAUCAGUAGCUGGUCUGAGAGGAUGAUCAGCCACACUGGGACUGAGACACGGCCCAGACUCCUACGGGAGGCAGCAGUGGGGAAUAUUGGACAAUGGGCGCAAGCCUGAUCCAGCCAUGCCGCGUGAGUGAUGAAGGCCUUAGGGUUGUAAAGCUCUUUUGUCCGGGACGAUAAUGACGGUACCGGAAGAAUAAGCCCCGGCUAACUUCGUGCCAGCAGCCGCGGUAAUACGAAGGGGGCUAGCGUUGCUCGGAAUCACUGGGCGUAAAGGGCGCGUAGGCGGCCGAUUAAGUCGGGGGUGAAAGCCUGUGGCUCAACCACAGAAUUGCCUUCGAUACUGGUUGGCUUGAGACCGGAAGAGGACAGCGGAACUGCGAGU
This 520-nucleotide ribosomal RNA is filed under the name uncultured bacterium. Its description in RNAcentral is "bacterial SSU rRNA". It matches the Rfam family "Bacterial small subunit ribosomal RNA", at positions 120 to 674 of the family's 1533-position model. The record is from RNAcentral.